GAUGAACGCUGGCGGCGUGCCUAACACAUGCAAGUCGAGCGGCAGCGCGGGGUGCUUGCACCCUGUCGGCGAGCGGCGGACGGCUGAGUAACGCGUGGGAACGUGCCCCAAAGUGAGGAAUAACUGCCCGAAAGGGUAGCUAAUACCGCAUAUUAUCUUCGGAUCAAAGGAUUUAUCCGCUUUGGGAGCGGCUCGCGUCGGAUUAGGUAGUUGGUGAGGUAAUGGCUCACCAAGCCGACGAUCCGUAGCUGGUCUGAGAGGAUGACCAGCCAGACUGGAACUGAGACACGGUCCAGACUCCUACGGGAGGCAGCAGUGAGGAAUCUUCCACAAUGGGCGAAAGCCUGAUGGGGCAACGCCGCGUGCAGGACGAAGGCCUUCGGGUUGUAAACUGCUUUUAUAAGUGAGGAAUAUGACGGUAACUUAUGAAUAAGGAUCGGCUAACUACGUG
Molecule: ribosomal RNA, 451 nt
Filed under: uncultured bacterium
Lineage: Bacteria
Description: partial 16S ribosomal RNA
Rfam family: Bacterial small subunit ribosomal RNA
Source: RNAcentral